AUUGAACGCUGGCGGCAUGCUUUACACAUGCAAGUCGAACGGCAGCGCGUGCUUCGGCCUGGCGGCGAGUGGCGAACGGGUGGGUAAGGCAUCGGAAAGUGCCCAGUAGUUGGGUAUAGCCUGGCGAAAGGCGGAUUAAUACCGCAUACGACCUGAGGUGGAAACGGGGGGAACGAAAGGGCUCGGGCUAUUGUGGCGGUCGAUGGCGUCUUGGCUAGUUGGUGGGGUGAAGGCGUACCAGGGCGACGAUCCGUAGCCGGGCUGAGAGGACGACCAGCGACACUGGGACUUAGCCACGGACCAGACUCCUACGGGAGGCAGCAGUGUGGAAUUUUGGACAAUGGUGGCAACCCUGAUACAGCCGUGCCGCGUGUGAGACGAAGGCCUUCGGGUUGUAAACCGCUUUUGUUCGGGAAGAACUCCUCUGGGCUCAUAACACGGGGGGAUGACGGUACCGGAAGAAUAAGCACCGGCUAACUACGUG
This 484-nucleotide ribosomal RNA is filed under the name uncultured bacterium. RNAcentral describes it as "partial 16S ribosomal RNA". It matches the Rfam family "Bacterial small subunit ribosomal RNA", at positions 28 to 507 of the family's 1533-position model. The record is from RNAcentral.